This 104-nucleotide small RNA is filed under the name Marmota monax (woodchuck). Lineage: Eukaryota; Metazoa; Chordata; Mammalia; Rodentia; Sciuridae. The record is from RNAcentral.
GCCAGGCGUGGUGGUGCAUGCCUGUGAUCCCAGCGGCUUGGGAGGCUGAGACAGAAUAAUAGCAUGGGCGAGGUGCUAAGCAACUCAGUGAGACCCUGUCUCUA